AGAAAAAGAAGAACCUUUACUCCUUGAAAAAGGAAUUCGCAGUUGAAUCUAGAGAGUGCAGAAAGAAAAAAAAAAAGAAGGGAUGAAAAGUUAAAGUAUGGGAAUCAAAGUCUUGUAAUUGAAGCAGCCAUAAUCAAAGAAACGGACGUUAAUACUUAUUGAGGAGAUGCUGCUCAAACAUGGCGUAUUGAUUGAUAUGAUUAAACACAACCCAAUAGCACGCAACAAGUUUUUGUCAGCAUUUGUGACGUCGAAUUUAAAAAUGAUCCUCCCAUUCGAUUCAUUUAACCUACGCAUCCGUAUUGGCUUCUCUGAUCGGUUCUUUCGCCCACCCAUUUGACAUUUUUCCAUUUUUCCUUCUUAAAAUACAAUAAAACCCAUAUCCCUCUCUUCCCUCUCUUCCCUUCUCGAUCGCCACACUCACCCAAUAAGCGCCUGGAUCUGUUUCCUUCUAUCUGGGUUUUCAGCUCUUGGCGGGUUUUGCUCAGAUAAGUGAUUUUGCUUCUUUGUUGAUUGUUGAUUGUGUUGCUCUUUCAAGGGUUCUUUCUCUUAUCUUACCUCUUUUUUCAGUUUAAUCGUUCUUGUCCAAUAUUUGAGUUUAGUUGUGUUUGAAGGGGUUUCUCUUGGUUCUGGGAAAAUGGGGUUUGUUUGAAAGAAAUUUCCUAUUAUCUAGUGGGGAAAUUUCGGCUUGGGUGUGCUUGAUUUGUCCAUUCUGUUAUCUUAGGGAUGAUUAAUUGGUGGUUUUAAUAGUUUAAGGAUCCUGUGGAAGAUGGGAUUCUGGGGUAUGUGUUUUUGAGUAUGAGGUGAAGUGUUCCUUUGAAAUAUAUGGAAGGGAAUUUAUCACAAGGAGGGUUGAUUCCAGGAGGGAGUUCUUAUGGAGGUCUUGAUUUGCAAGGACCGUUUAAGGUUCAUAAUCAGGGACAGCUCUCUCAUGCCUUACACCAACAGCAUCAUCCUCAUACUCGUCAGGGAUCAUCAGCUAAUCCCUCCAUUCAGGAGGGAUUUUCACUUUCCAUGGGAGUUGUACAAAAUUGUGACCAUACCAUGUCUUUGGUAGAGUAUAACAAGGGAGAAAGGUGUAAAAACUCAGCUAGCGACGAAGAUCCGAGUUUUAAUGAGGAUAGUAUUGAUGGUCAUAAUGAGAAUAGUAAGGGGAAGAAGGGAUCGAUGUGGCACCGCGUGAAAUGGACAGAUAAAAUGGUGAAGCUUCUGAUUACAGCAGUGUCUUAUAUAGGAGAUGAUAUUGCUUCAGAUAUUGAUGGGGGUGGAAGAAGGAAAUGCCAAAUUAUACAGAAGAAAGGUAAAUGGAAACUGAUAUCAAAAGUCAUUGCUGAAAGGGGUUAUCAAGUUUCACCUCAGCAGUGUGAGGAUAAAUUUAAUGACCUCAAUAAGAGGUAUAAGAGGCUCAAUGAUAUAAUUGGGAGAGGCACUUCUUGUCAGGUUGUUGAGAAUCCAGCACUUCUUGAUGUCAUUGAUUAUUUAACUGAAAAAGAUAAGGAUGAUGUGAGAAAAAUUUUAAACUCAAAGCAACUGUUCUAUGAGGAGAUGUGUUCUUAUCAUAACUCAAAUCGACUUCAUCUGCCCCAUGAUCCUGCUUUGCAGCGUUCGUUGCAGCUGGCUUUUAGAGCAAGGGAUGAUCACGAUAAUGACGAGCCAAGAAGACAUCAAAAUGAUGAUUUUGAUGAACACGAACCUGAUGAAACUGAUGAACAUGAUGAUUAUGAGGAGAAUUUUGUACCCCAUACGGACAAUAGGCGAUCGCUUGGGGUAUUAGGAGGUUCGGUGAAGAGGCUAAAACGAGGCCAAGACCAUGAUGAUGCACAUGCUUGUGGUAAUUCCUUGAGUCCUCUUGAUUGCAACAAAAGUUCUCAUCCUCAUUCACAAGCACAAUUUACUCAAGCUGAUACAGCUCAUUUAGAAACUGAAAGUAUGAAAGCUUCUACAUCGCAAAAGCAGUGGAUGGAGCUUCGCUUACUUCAAUUGGAAGAUCAGAAACUUCAAAUUCAAGUUGAAAUGUUGGAACUGGAGAAACAAAAGUUUAAGUGGGAGAGAUUUAACAAGAAAAAGGACCGCGAGUUGGAAAAAAUGAGGAUGGUGAACGAGAGGAUGAAGCUUGAAAAUGAGCGCCUUGCACUUGACUUAAAGCAAAAGCAAAUUGGAUCAGGAUUUCAUUAAUUGGCUGACAUGAUCUGAAUUAAUUCUAUCAGCAUAUCUGUGCAAAUCUCGACGAUCUGUAAUUCUGAUAGAAUACUGCUACUUGAAGCGCUUGAGUUGGCUCGCCCGCUCCAGGGAUUAUUGCUUAGGAAACAACUGUUGGAAGAAGAGGAAUUAGUAUAGUUCAGUGCAAAGUUACAUUUUCCUUGCCACUCUUUGCUGCAGCAUCCAUAUGCAGUCAUGAAAUGAUGAUGCUAUGCAAUUGCUGCUUUUCAUCUUACCUAAAAGUUCUGUGAAUUAUCUGACACUGCCUUAGAGCUAUGGAUGAAGAUGUAGAUCGAUCACCCUAUUUCAACAACUACAUAGAGGGUCUUAAGUGAAAGUCGUUGUCAUUCCAUUACAUAGAAAGACAUGGAAGUUGGCCGUAGCUUUCAGAGAUAGGGGGAGUGUUGAUUAAACCACGUGCUCCACUUCUUGUGUAGGCCCUUGUCAAUUUCUUUGAGUUACUCGAACUUACCUUGCAUGAGAAUCUUUUCAAAAGGAUGUGUUUGAUGAGAAAGAAAAAAGAAUAUUGAAUUGACAUGGAGGGACUUGAAUCUUGGAUGAACUAGACUUCAUCACUUGGAACUGUUACAAGGGUUACAGUUUGAACUGUGAAGAAAGCACUGGGGUGUUCGGCCAAGUCUAACCACCGAAUUCACGUACUUUGCAAACCUUGAUGACUGAUUGAAAAUUAUGAGUUAAAAGAAGCAUCAAUUACAUAAAGAUUAACCUUACCUCAUGUUAUUGUUUUUGUGUUUGUGAUGAACGUUUUGAACUAUAAAUUGUGAAUUGAAGCAUGUCACAUUGCAAUGGCAAAGGGGCAGAAGAGGUAAAAACUUGGGGAUUGUUUA
RNA transcript from Cucumis sativus (cucumber), 3047 nucleotides. RefSeq lists it as uncharacterized. NCBI's taxonomy places the organism in Eukaryota, Viridiplantae, Streptophyta, Magnoliopsida, Cucurbitales, Cucurbitaceae. The record is from RefSeq and is a predicted model, not a curated record. The transcript is spliced from 3 exons.